UUUGAAUGCUACAUUUUUAAAUUUAAGCUAGAAUCAUAGAAUCCUUAAGGUAGGAAAAGACCUCCAAGAUCAUCUGGUCCAAACGUCCCCCUACCACCAACAUCACCCACUAAACUAUUUCCCAAAGCACCAUGUCUAACCUUUCCUUAAAUGCUCCCAGGGUGGUGACUCCACCAUCUCCCUGGGCAACACAUUCCAAUGCUUGACUACUCUUUCUGAGAAUAAAUGUCUCCUAAUUUCCAGGCUGA
This is a long non-coding RNA of Oxyura jamaicensis (ruddy duck), 248 nucleotides long. RefSeq lists it as uncharacterized. Lineage: Eukaryota; Metazoa; Chordata; Aves; Anseriformes; Anatidae. The transcript is spliced from 4 exons. The record is from RefSeq and is a predicted model, not a curated record.